AGGAUGAACGCUGGCGGUCUGCUUAACACAUGCAAGUCGAACGAAUCCCUUCGGGGAUGAGUGGCGGACGGGUGAGUAACGCGUGAGAAUCUGCCUUUUGGUCGGGGACAACCACUGGAAACGGUGGCUAAUACCGGAUAAGCCUGCGGGUAAAAGAUUAAUUGCCAAAAGAGGAGCUCGCGUCUGAUUAGCUAGUUGGUAGGGUAAAAGCCUACCAAGGCGACGAUCAGUAGCUGGUCUGAGAGGAUGAUCAGCCACACUGGGACUGAGACACGGCCCAGACUCCUACGGGAGGCAGCAGUGGGGAAUUUUCCGCAAUGGGCGAAAGCCUGACGGAGCAAGACCGCGUGAGGGAGGAAGGCUUUUGGGUCGUAAACCUCUUUUCUCAGGGAAGAAAAAAAUGACGGUACCUGAGGAAUAAGCCUCGGCUAACUCCGUGCCAGCAGCCGCGGUAAUACGGAGGAGGCAAGCGUUAUCCGGAAUUAUUGGGCGUAAAGCGUCCGUAGGUGGCACAUCAAGUCUGCGGUCAAAGACCGGGGCUUAACCCUGGAAAGGCCGUGGAAACUGAAGUGCUAGAGUGCAGUAGGGGUAGAGGGAAUUCCCGGUGUAGCGGUGAAAUGCGUAGAGCUCGGGAAGAACAUCGGUGGCGAAAGCGCUCUACUGGACUGCAACUGACACUGAGGGACGAAAGCUAGGGGAGCGAAUGGGAUUAGAUACCCCAGUAGUCCUAGCCGUAAACGAUGGAUACUAGGUGUGGCUUGUAUCGACCCGAGCUGUGCCGUAGCUAACGCGUUAAGUAUCCCGC
This 805-nucleotide ribosomal RNA is filed under the name uncultured bacterium. RNAcentral's name for it is "bacterial SSU rRNA". It matches the Rfam family "Bacterial small subunit ribosomal RNA", at positions 26 to 872 of the family's 1533-position model. The record is from RNAcentral.